RNAcentral lists this ribosomal RNA (208 nucleotides) under uncultured bacterium. RNAcentral describes it as "partial 16S ribosomal RNA". It matches the Rfam family "Bacterial small subunit ribosomal RNA", at positions 568 to 774 of the family's 1533-position model. The record is from RNAcentral.
CUCGUAGGCGGCCAACUAAGUCAGACGUGAAAUCCCUCGGCUUAACCGGGGAACUGCGUCUGAUACUGGAUGGCUUGAGGUUGGGAGAGGGAUGCGGAAUUCCAGGUGUAGCGGUGAAAUGCGUAGAUAUCUGGAGGAACACCGGUGGCGAAGGCGACAUCCUGGACCAAUUCUGACGCUGAGUGAGCGAAAGCCAGGGGAGCAAACG